This 62-nucleotide transfer RNA is filed under the name Podarcis lilfordi (Lilford's wall lizard). RNAcentral describes it as "tRNA.Asn". The record is from RNAcentral. Lineage: Eukaryota; Metazoa; Chordata; Lepidosauria; Squamata; Lacertidae.
GGGUGGAGUGGGUCAGUGCGUCUGGCUGUUAACCAGAAGGUGGGUGGUUCGAGCCCACCUCG